CUGUUAGUCUGAUGGGCUUCCCUUUGUGGGUAACCAGACUUUUCUCUCUGGCUGCCCUUAACACUUUUUCCUUCAUUUCAACUUUGUUGAAUCUGACAAUUAUGUGUCUUGGAGUUGUUCUUCUCGAGGAGUGUCUUUGUGGCGUACUCUGUGUUUCCUGAAUUUCAAUGUUGGCCUGCCUUGCUAGGUUGGGGAAGUUCUCCUGGAUAAUACACUGCAGAGUGUUUUCCAACUUGGUUCCAUUCUCCCCAUCACUUUCAGGUACACCAAUCAGACGUAGAUUUGAUCUUUUCACAUAGUCUCAUAUUUCUUGGAGGCUUUGUUUGUUUCUUUUUACUCUUUUUUCUCUAAACUUCUCUUCUCGUUUCAUUUCAUUCAUUUGAUCUUCAGUCACUGAUACCCUUUCUUCCACUGGAUCAAAUCGGCUACUGAAGCUUGUGCACGCAUCACGUAGUUCUCGUGCCAUGGUUUUCUGCUCCAUCAGGUCAUUUAAGAUCUUCUCUACACUGUUUAUUGUAGUUAGCUAUUCGUCUAACUUUUUUCAAGGUUUUUAGCUUCUUUGUGAUGGUUUCGAACAUCCCCCUUUAUCUCAGAGAAGUUUGUUAUUACUGAUCAUCUGAAGCCUUCUUCUCUCAACUCGUCAAAGUCAUUCUCUGUCCAGCUUUGUUCCGUUGCUGGCGAAGAGCUGCGUUCCUUUGGAGGAGGAGAGGCACUCUCAUUUUUAGGCUUUCCAGUUUUUCUGCUCUGUUUUUUUCCCAUCUUUGUGGUUUUAUCUACCUUUGGUCUUUGAUGAUGGUUGCAUACAGAUGGGUUUUUGGUGUGGAUGUCCUUUCUGUUUGUUAGUUUUCCUUCUAACAGACAGGACCCUCAGCCGCAGGUCUGUUGGAGUUUGCUGGAGGUCCACUCCAGACCGUUUGUCUGGGUAUCACCAGUGGAGGCUGCAGAACAGCAAAUAUUGCAGAACAGCAAAUGUUGCUGCCUGAUCCUUCCUCUGGAAGCUUCACCUAAGAGGGGCACCCGGCUGUAUCCACUUACAUUCUUGAGAGAAUGAAGGUAAAAACGGGAAUCUCUGCAUAUAGCUACAAAGUCACCCAGGGAAGGACAAGCUCAUGGAGGGCUCUUUCCUGCCCAUUCGCCUCAUUUAAGUGCAGCCAUCCUUCAGGCCCUUGGUUAAGCUUCCAAGGACCCUAUGGGUCAAGGUGAAGCCAUCAGUGUCUACAGCUUCAGCUAUUGCCCGUGUGCAGAUGGUGCUUAAUCUCUCUUGUGCCUUCCAGACCUGCAUUCCAGCCACCUACCAAACCCCUUUCUGUGGAUGCCAAGAAAAGUCUUCAGACCGUGGACAAUGUGCUCUUUGCCCCUAUUAUGGAGAAAGGUGUUCCCUAGGAUGAUGACACAAGGAUUUAAUGAGUAGAAGACAACAACUUAAAACCUCUCAUUUGAGCAUGAAUUGUCUAGGUUAAAGGUAGGCAUUGAGAUCCCAUUAGCUACUGGCACACUUGGGAAAAGAAAUGUACACAUGCACAGACACACUUUAAAGCAAGACUUCAUAAAAAUACAGCGAUGCCUGUUUCUACUCAGACCCAAAAAUGGAAUUAAAGCCAAAACUUACAACCCCUCUACUAAUUAGAGAAGUAAAAAUGUCUUCACCCCAAGUGUCCCAGCACAACGUGAAACCGAAACAAGCUGCCUUUCUUUGGAUUCCACUUAUUUAUUUAUGUUUAAAAGAAUAUUUGAAGAAAAGGACGCCUAGUAAAAGAACAGUUGGAGAAAACAUGGGACACCAUACAUUGGAAGAGAAAUGUAGAUGAAGUACACAGCUACAACAGGGAUAUUUUUUUUCUUGUUGAAACACAUGAUAAUGGGCUAAUAAAAAUCUGGUUACCUUUACAUUUCUUCUCCUCCGUUUGGAAGGUCUGGGCACUUGAGACACUCUGGUCGUUCACAUCAUCAUGGUCCAGAUGGAAUAUUG
This 1969-nucleotide long non-coding RNA is filed under the name Homo sapiens (human). Its description in RNAcentral is "HSALNT0052112". Lineage: Eukaryota; Metazoa; Chordata; Mammalia; Primates; Hominidae. The record is from RNAcentral.